This 252-nucleotide ribosomal RNA is filed under the name uncultured bacterium. RNAcentral's name for it is "partial 16S ribosomal RNA". It matches the Rfam family "Bacterial small subunit ribosomal RNA", at positions 524 to 776 of the family's 1533-position model. The record is from RNAcentral.
UACGUAGGGGGCAAGCGUUGUCCGGAAUCACUGGGCGUAAAGCGCACGUAGGCGGACUCUUAAGUCGGUGGUGAAAUCCUGGAGCUCAACUCCAGAACUGCCUUCGAUACUGGGAGUCUCGAGUCCGGGAGAGGUGAGUGGAACUGCGAGUGUAGAGGUGAAAUUCGUAGAUAUUCGCAAGAACACCAGUGGCGAAGGCGGCCUUCUGGACGAUGACUGACGCUGAGACGCGAAAGCGUGGGAGCAAACAGG